RNAcentral lists this ribosomal RNA (217 nucleotides) under Candidatus Bathyarchaeota archaeon. RNAcentral's name for it is "partial 16S ribosomal RNA". It matches the Rfam family "Archaeal small subunit ribosomal RNA", at positions 1267 to 1478 of the family's 1478-position model. The record is from RNAcentral. Lineage: Archaea; Thermoproteati; Candidatus Bathyarchaeota.
CCCACCCUCGUGAACAUGGAAUCCCUAGUAAUCGCGUGUCACUAGCGCGCGGUGAAUACGUCCCUGCUCCUUGCACACACCGCCCGUCGUUCCACCCGAGCGACUCUUGGGUGAGGUGCCGUCUCUUUGGCGGUAUCGAAUCUAAGUUUCGUGAGGGGGGAAAAGUCGUAACAAGGUGGCCGUAGGGGAACCUGCGGCCGGAUCACCUCCUAAGAAA